AUUGAACGCUGGCGGCAGGCCUAACACAUGCAAGUCGAGCGGAUGAAGGGAGCUUGCUCCUGGAUUCAGCGGCGGACGGGUGGGUAAUGCCUAGGAAUCUGCCUGGUAGUGGGGGAUAACGUCCGGAAACGGGCGCUAAUACCGCAUACGUCCUGAGGGAGAAAGUGGGGGAUCUUCGGACCUCACGCUAUCAGAUGAGCCUAGGUCGGAUUUGCUAGUUGGUGGGGUAAAGGCCUACCAAGGCGACGAUCCGUAACUGGUCUGAGAGGAUGAUCAGUCACACUGGAACUGAGACACGGUCCAGACCCCUACGGGAGGCAGCAGUGGGGAAUAUUGGACAAUGGGCGAAAGCCUGAUCCAGCCAUGCCGCGUGUGUGAAGAAGGUCUUCGGAUUGUAAAGCACUUUAAGUUGGGAGGAAGGGCAGUAAGUUAAUACCUUGCUGUUUUGACGUUACCAACAGAAUAAGCACCGGCUAACUUCGUG
This 484-nucleotide ribosomal RNA is filed under the name uncultured bacterium. RNAcentral describes it as "partial 16S ribosomal RNA". It matches the Rfam family "Bacterial small subunit ribosomal RNA", at positions 30 to 507 of the family's 1533-position model. The record is from RNAcentral.